ACGCUGGCGGCAUGCUUUACACAUGCAAGUCGAACGGCAGCACGGACUUCGGUCUGGUGGCGAGUGGCUGAACGGGUGAGUAAUACAUCGGAACGUGCCCAGUUGUGGGGGAUAACUACUCGAAAGAGUAGCUAAUACCGNAUGAGAACUGAGGUUGAAAGCAGGGGAUCGUAAGACCUUGCGCAACUGGAGCGGCCGAUGGCAGAUUAGGUAGUUGGUGGGAUAAAAGCUUACCAAGCCGACGAUCUGUAGCUGGUCUGAGAGGACGACCAGCCACACUGGGACUGANACACGGCCCAGACUCCUACGGGAGGCANCAGUGGGGAAUUUUGGACAAUGGGCGAAAGCCUGAUCCAGCAAUGCCGCGUGCAGGAUGAAGGCCUUCGGGUUGUAAACUGCUUUUGUACGGAACGAAAAGCUUCGGGUUUAAUUACCCUGGAGUCAUGACGGUACCGUAAGAAUAAGCACCGGCUAACUACGUGCCA
RNAcentral lists this ribosomal RNA (485 nucleotides) under Comamonas sp. HBL6. Its description in RNAcentral is "bacterial SSU rRNA". It matches the Rfam family "Bacterial small subunit ribosomal RNA", at positions 33 to 510 of the family's 1533-position model. Lineage: Bacteria; Pseudomonadati; Pseudomonadota; Betaproteobacteria; Burkholderiales; Comamonadaceae. The record is from RNAcentral.